CCCGGUGUAGGUCGCUUGCUUCCCCGGCUCGGUCGCAGGUGGAUGUUGCAGCGUUGGAGUCAGCGGAGGGGAAGAGGGUGGAUUCCUUGGGAUCGGCGGCGCCGGAGGAGGAGGAGGGUCCAGGGUGGAGUCGGCGGAGGGUGUAGGGGGGAGAGGGAGAGGGGGGCAGAACAGACGAGGCCCACGCCUCCGCUCGAAGAGCCGCUAACACCGCGACCGAGCUCCGCCCGUGCGUCGGUGAGGAAGAGAGGGAAGGUGGCGGCGAGCAGCGUCGAGGCGGAGGGGCGGAUCGUCGCCGGUCUCUUCCCGACGAGGCGGCGGGGCGGAGUAGAGGAGAAGGAGAGUAAGACUCCCGCGGUCCUCGUACCGGAGUUAGACCUCGUCCUCUCCGGCCCUCACUAUACCCUCGUCGAGCCGAGGUGGGGCUACCACUGGCUACGCGAGUCUGAACACCGGGCCAGAGCGGCGGCGCGCGUCAGGUGGAGAGGGGCGUCCGUACGGCCGGUGGAGGGGUGGACUGCGUGUAGAAGGGGUACCCCGUUACCUUGUGCCACUCGUCGUCCAUCCUCGCACGCCACGACUCUUCCGGCCGAGGCAGGACGAGAACACGGUGGCGGCUGGGUGGGCUCUUCGGGCAGGUGUGUGGGCAGCCGAGGAGGAGUCGAGCAAGGGUAGAGACCGUCCGUCCACUCGAGGACGAAGGAGAGGGACAAAGGGAAACUAAAACACGACCGCAACAUGACACACAAAUACAACAACGAAACACUCUAUACCGAUGAUGAACACGACGAUGUACACACACAACGACCAAGACCACGACGUUUCGGACCGACGACAAACAGGACUGCGAAACACGAUGAUCAACGACGACCAACGAACACAACGACCAUACACGAUGUGACGACGAUGAACGACAAACAACGAAGGAACAAACCAAUAAACACUUUGACUUUAAGAAACACUUUUCUUUUAAAACUUCUAUUCCGAUAUUCGACUACUCGACUGGAAGUAAAGGUAAAAAAUAAAUUAUUAACUACUUCCUAUACAGUAUAUAAGUCAACGAUUGUAAAAGAGAGAUACCAUAUUCUCUCCGAAGCCUGCACUUCCGUCAUCGUGCGUCGCGGUCUAGCUCGCGUGUAUGGAACUGCUGUUCUCUGGUCAUGUGAAUUGUUCGGGGUUUUAUGAUGAUACACUAAUCAAUUUAAGUCACGACAUCACUACGGAAACAAGAAGUCAAUUUAAAAAAAUCAUGCUCCUUGGUCAUCACAGGGGAGACAAGAAGUCAAUUUAAGUCAACUAUGUAAUACCAUAAAUGUUGUUGAGGUACAAUAGAACAAAACACAACGUCGCUCAAGGUGCGUAAAACUUCGAUGCUGGCGAUCUUUGGUCACUUCUUACUUCUUUCCUCCUAGAUGGUCGUCGAAGCUCAUCCUCCUACUCUAGAACUACCUCAAGUACAAAGUCGUUGGCAUCAUCGCGUAGGAGACUGGAGCUGGAUCAGGCGGCACUACCUUUUGCAUUAUAAGGUUGUUUUCACGAAGGCCUACGAUGCUACUCUAUCGCGAACCGGAAGGUUCGCGUCGAUUGAGUUGUGUGUUCCGUUCCUGGAGCUCCGUUCACAAAUUAAGAUAGGUAACUCAUGGUCGAUUUAUUACUUGAACGUUUCUGUAAUUAUAGGUAGAUACAGAUACUUUGACGGGCUCCGACUUCUAACCGACCGUCUGCUUGGAGAAUUUAUGUACCUUCAGAGAAUGUUGUUUCACGACGUUCUGUAGUUAAUACUAUUCAACAUCAACCAACUUGUUUUUCAUUAAGAGACCUUGUGCUCGACUUUCUUUUUCUACCUUAGUAUCUGAUAAACUCCUCGUCGACCACCUACUACAGAUACCUUCUGUAAAGACGAAAACGGUUAGUGUUGGGCGGCGUUGUGUGGGUGGUACUUCUCGUCGAAUCUACUACUCCAUUAAAAGCUGUGCGACCAUGUACGAGAUGCAUUAGAUUUAUGACGUAUAGAAUCAAUGGUAUUCGACCCACUAGUUUCGAUAGAUAUACUACGUGGAGACGGAUAAUCGAUUAGAGUAGGGAAAGAAAACCGGAUACAAGAAUAAACUGUUUCGACUUCCUUCGUGCAGGUCUAACCAUGAGACCUACCACUCCAAUCUAAUUAACUGGUGUUAAAGAUAACUGAAAAGGACAUGUGUUACAAGUGUUCAAGUACAUAAUUCAUGUAAAAUCGCACAGUGAACACAAAUGAGGAAAAAAUUACGUUCAAAUGUCGAUGAGCCUCAAGGAUUAACGUCUGAGUUGAUAGAACUGGAUGGCUACUAGAUUAAACAC
Molecule: ribosomal RNA, 2337 nt
Filed under: Triticum aestivum (bread wheat)
Lineage: Eukaryota; Viridiplantae; Streptophyta; Magnoliopsida; Poales; Poaceae
Description: partial small subunit ribosomal RNA
Source: RNAcentral